GACGAACGCUGGCGGCGUGCCUAAUACAUGCAAGUCGUGCGGACCUUGUUGAAAGCUUGCUUUUAAAAGGUUAGCGGCGGACGGGUGAGUAACACGUGGGCAACCUGCCUGUAAGACUGGGAUAACGCCGGGAAACCGGGGCUAAUACCAGAUCGUUUUUUCCUCCGCAUGGAGGAAAAAGGAAAGGCGGCUUCGGCUGCCACUUACAGAUGGGCCCGCGGCGCAUUAGCUAGUUGGCGGGGUAAUGGCCCACCAAGGCAACGAUGCGUAGCCGACCUGAGAGGGUGAUCGGCCACAUUGGGACUGAGACACGGCCCAAACUCCUACGGUAGGCAGCAGUAGGGAAUCUUCCGCAAUGGACGAAAGUCUGACGGAGCAACGCCGCGUGAGUGAAGAAGGCCUUCGGGUCGUAAAACUCUGUUGCCGGGGAAGAACAAGUGCCGUUCGAACAGGGCGGCGCCUUGACGGUACCCGGCCAGAAAGCCACGGCUAACUACGUG
This 500-nucleotide ribosomal RNA is filed under the name uncultured bacterium. RNAcentral describes it as "partial 16S ribosomal RNA". It matches the Rfam family "Bacterial small subunit ribosomal RNA", at positions 28 to 507 of the family's 1533-position model. The record is from RNAcentral.